RNAcentral lists this ribosomal RNA (253 nucleotides) under uncultured prokaryote. RNAcentral's name for it is "partial 16S ribosomal RNA". It matches the Rfam family "Bacterial small subunit ribosomal RNA", at positions 524 to 776 of the family's 1533-position model. The record is from RNAcentral.
UACAGAGGUCUCAAGCGUUGUUCGGAUUCAUUGGGCGUAAAGGGUGCGUAGGUGGCGCGGUAAGUCGGGUGUGAAAUUUCGGAGCUUAACUCCGAAACUGCAUUCGAUACUGCCGUGCUUGAGGACUGGAGAGGAGACUGGAAUUUACGGUGUAGCAGUGAAAUGCGUAGAUAUCGGGAGGAACACCUGUGGCGAAAGCGGCUCACUGGACCACAACUGACGCUGAUGCGCGAAAGCUAGGGGAGCAAACAGG